This 68-nucleotide transfer RNA is filed under the name Adelpha ethelda. RNAcentral describes it as "tRNA-Leu". The record is from RNAcentral. Lineage: Eukaryota; Metazoa; Arthropoda; Insecta; Lepidoptera; Nymphalidae.
ACUAUUUUGACAGAAAAAUGUGAUGAUUUUAGAAGUCAUUUAUAUAUAAUUUUAUUAUAUAGAUAGUA